Molecule: ribosomal RNA, 382 nt
Filed under: uncultured eukaryote
Lineage: Eukaryota
Description: partial 18S ribosomal RNA
Rfam family: Eukaryotic small subunit ribosomal RNA
Source: RNAcentral
UGUAAGCGUAUACCAAAGUUGUUGCAGUUAAAACGCUCGUAGUCGGACUUUGGCAGUUCCGGAUGUGUGCACGUCGUGUGCGCGCUUCGCGGGGAUUGCUUUUGUGGUCUUGCGUAGGAUGAGGCACUUUUAUUAGUGAACGUCCUCACGCAACCACUUUUUACUGUGAGAAAAUCAGAGUGCUCAAAGCAGGCAUUUGCCGUGAAUGUAUUAGCAUGGAAUAAUAGAAUAGGACUUGGUUCUAUUUUGUUGGUUUGUUGGGACUGAGUAAUGAUUAAGAGGGACAGUUGGGGGCAUUUGUAUUUCGGUGCUAGAGGUGAAAUUCUUAGAUUACCGAAAGACAAACUGCUGCGAAAGCGUCUGCCAAGGAUGUUUUCAUUGA